AGCUUUGCGCAGUGGCAGGAUGGUAGCCAAUGAGGUUUAUCCGAGGCGCGAUUAUGGCUAAUGGUUUAAAAAAGAAAAAGAAACAGCACACAGGGAGAUGAUCUCUCUGAAAAGCAAGUUGAAGUUACUUUUUGUAAAAG
Molecule: non-coding RNA, 140 nt
Organism: Myotis davidii
Lineage: Eukaryota; Metazoa; Chordata; Mammalia; Chiroptera; Vespertilionidae
Source: Rfam